UACGGAGGGUGCAAGCGUUGUUCGGGAUCAUUGGGCGUAAAGCGCGUGUAGGCGGCUUGGCAAGUCAGUUGUGAAAGCCCGGGGCCCAACCCCGGAACUGCAUCUGAAACUGCUUGGCUCGAGUCCCGGAGAGGAAGGCAGAAUUCCCGGUGUAGGGGUGAAAUCCGUAGAUAUCGGGAGGAAUACCAGCGGCAAAGGCGGCCUUCUGGACGGUGACUGACGCUGAGACGCGAAAGCGUGGGGAGCAAACAGG
Molecule: ribosomal RNA, 253 nt
Filed under: uncultured bacterium
Lineage: Bacteria
Description: partial 16S ribosomal RNA
Rfam family: Bacterial small subunit ribosomal RNA
Source: RNAcentral